RNAcentral lists this transfer RNA (72 nucleotides) under Candidatus Gottesmanbacteria bacterium. Its description in RNAcentral is "tRNA-Thr". It matches the Rfam family "tRNA". Rfam says of the family: Transfer RNA (tRNA) molecules are approximately 80 nucleotides in length. Their secondary structure includes four short double-helical elements and three loops (D, anti-codon, and T loops). Lineage: Bacteria; Candidatus Gottesmaniibacteriota. The record is from RNAcentral.
GCCGAUGUAGCUCAACGGUAGAGCAUUCCCUUCGUAAGGGAGUGGUUGGAGGUUCAAAUCCUCUCAUCGGCU